This 429-nucleotide ribosomal RNA is filed under the name Chloroflexota bacterium. RNAcentral's name for it is "Chloroflexi bacterium partial 16S ribosomal RNA". It matches the Rfam family "Bacterial small subunit ribosomal RNA", at positions 355 to 776 of the family's 1533-position model. Lineage: Bacteria; Bacillati; Chloroflexota. The record is from RNAcentral.
UGGGGAAUAUUGCACAAUGGGCGCAAGCCUGAUGCAGCCAUGCCGCGUGUGUGAAGAAGGCCUUCGGGUUGUAAAGCACUUUCAGCGGGGAGGAAGGCGGUGAGGUUAAUAACCUCAUCGAUUGACGUUACCCGCAGAAGAAGCACCGGCUAACUCCGUGCCAGCAGCCCCGGUAAUACGGAGGGUGCAAGCGUUAAUCGGAAUUACUGGGCGUAAAGCGCACGCAGGCGGUCUGUCAAGUCGGAUGUGAAAUCCCCGGGCUCAACCUGGGAACUGCAUUCGAAACUGGCAGGCUAGAGUCUUGUAGAGGGGGGUAGAAUUCCAGGUGUAGCGGUGAAAUGCGUAGAGAUCUGGAGGAAUACCGGUGGCGAAGGCGGCCCCCUGGACAAAGACUGACGCUCAGGUGCGAAAGCGUGGGGAGCAAACAGG